RNAcentral lists this ribosomal RNA (487 nucleotides) under uncultured bacterium. Its description in RNAcentral is "partial 16S ribosomal RNA". It matches the Rfam family "Bacterial small subunit ribosomal RNA", at positions 28 to 507 of the family's 1533-position model. The record is from RNAcentral.
GAUGAACGCUAGCGAUAGGCUUAACACAUGCAAGUCGAGGGGCAGCACAAGGUAGCUUGCUAUCUGGGUGGCGACCGGCGCACGGGUGCGUAACGCGUAUGCAACUUGCCCUAUACAGGAGGAUAACCCGUCGAAAGACGGACUAAUACUGCGUAUGCUCACAACUUGGCAUCAAGUGGUGAGGAAAGAAAUUCGGUAUAGGAUAGGCAUGCGUCCCAUUAGCUUGUUGGUGAGGUAACGGCUCACCAAGGCAACGAUGGGUAGGAGAACUGAGAGGUUUAUCCCCCACACUGGUACUGAGACACGGACCAGACUCCUACGGGAGGCAGCAGUGAGGAAUAUUGGUCAAUGGGCGCGAGCCUGAAACAGCCAAGUCGCGUGAAGGAUGACUGUCUUAUGGAUUGUAAACUUCUUUUAUACGGGAAUAACAAGAGUCACGUGUGACUCCCUGCAUGUACCGUAUGAAUAAGCAUCGGCUAACUCCGUG